AUGCCCAUUCCUGUGGCAGCCUAUGUUUCCUGUCUGUCAGAGCUGUCAGCCUGCUUAAGCAGAGUAAAAUGGUACAGGCAGUGCAGCCUGGUAGCGAGAAAAAAGGCUGCCUGUGAAAUCCCACUGUGGGACCAUAAGUGGGGACCUCAGGGCCCCUUCAUGGCAUCUCCAUGGCCAUGUCAUGCUGGAGAAGGAGGCGUUUCAAGAAUGUGAGCUGAUCGCUGGAAACUGCUCAUCUGACUCCAGUCUCAAAAGAGGCUAUGUGCAAGAAUCGGGUGAAGUUGUGAGACCCCAUCCACCCCUCACAAGAUUGUAUCCCCACCCUGUCUGACCUUACUGCUGCUCAAACUAUCUGUCCAAGGAUGAAAACCCAGGACAAAGGAGGAGUAACCCUCAUGAUGUGAAGCACGUGUUCACCUGUGAAUAUAACCUGAGGAUCAUGAGACUAUCUGUGGAUUUCACAGAGAAGACAGACGAGAAGACACCGCUGACACUUCUCCACGGAGGUCUCCUUUUCCACCAAGAUGCAGAUGCUUCUUGCAAGGACUAUCCUGUGAAUCCCACAGAGAAGACAGGUGUGGUUCCAAUGCCGGUGCACCUCCAGGGAAUUCUCCUUUUCUACCAAGCUCCAGGCCUUCUGCCAUGAUCAUGAGACUAUUUGUGGAUUUCACAGAGAAGAUAGGUGAAGGUACAGCAUGGCAUCCACCCCUCACCAGAGGGGUAUCCCCACCCCUAUCUGACCUUAUUACCUUAUUGCUGUUCAAAGUCUCUAUCCCAGACUGAAAUCCCAAGACAAUGGAGAAGUUCCCCCUGAUGAUGUGAAGCACCAACUCCUCUGGGAAUCAAAUUCGAGGUAAAUUUAAUAGGCCCGGUAGAGAUGAAUGAUAGUGUCUCUCCUUGGAUUGGCUGAAAGACAAUUAAACACUGGUAUAUUUCUGUUAAAAAAAAAA
Molecule: long non-coding RNA, 950 nt
Filed under: Homo sapiens (human)
Lineage: Eukaryota; Metazoa; Chordata; Mammalia; Primates; Hominidae
Description: testis expressed transcript, Y-linked 1 (TTTY1)
Source: RNAcentral